This 226-nucleotide long non-coding RNA is filed under the name Hordeum vulgare. RNAcentral's name for it is "long non-coding RNA (HVUL_LNC009804)". Lineage: Eukaryota; Viridiplantae; Streptophyta; Magnoliopsida; Poales; Poaceae. The record is from RNAcentral.
GAAGCAAAAAACCACUUGGUCAUCCUACUCUUGAAACCAAAAUCCAUGAACGGUCAAGGCAAGGUUCUAUGUCUUUGAGCCAGCGUGCCUCAACACAGAACGACAUGCCCAACAUUGUCUUCCAUGCUAUCUUCUCUGACACAAGAACACCCCCUCCUUAUGUUGUUUUAACUAGUAAGAAGACCAAGCAAGAUGAAGCUAAAGGCAGGAACCGCAUGUAGCGACC